UACAGAGGUCCCAAGCGUUGUUCGGAUUCAUUGGGCGUAAAGGGUGCGUAGGUGGCGGGGUAAGUUGGAUGUGAAAUCUCGGGGCUCAACCCCGAAACUGCAUUCAAUACUGCUCUGCUCGAGUACUGGAGAGGAGAUCGGAAUUUACGGUGUAGCAGUAAAAUGCGUAGAUAUCGUAAGGAAGACCAGUGGCGAAGGCGGAUCUCUGGACAGUUACUGACACUGAGGCACGAAGGCCAGGGGAGCAAACGGG
RNAcentral lists this ribosomal RNA (253 nucleotides) under uncultured bacterium. RNAcentral describes it as "partial 16S ribosomal RNA". It matches the Rfam family "Bacterial small subunit ribosomal RNA", at positions 524 to 776 of the family's 1533-position model. The record is from RNAcentral.